RNAcentral lists this ribosomal RNA (253 nucleotides) under uncultured bacterium. Its description in RNAcentral is "partial 16S ribosomal RNA". It matches the Rfam family "Bacterial small subunit ribosomal RNA", at positions 524 to 776 of the family's 1533-position model. The record is from RNAcentral.
UACAGAGGUCUCAAGCGUUGUUCGGAUUCAUUGGGCGUAAAGGGUGCGUAGGUGGUGAUGCAAGUCUGGUGUGAAAUCUCGGAGCUCAACUCCGAAAUUGCACCGGAUACUGCGUGACUCGAGGACUGUAGAGGAGAUCGGAAUUCACGGUGUAGCAGUGAAAUGCGUAGAUAUCGUGAGGAAGACCAGUUGCGAAGGCGGAUCUCUGGGCAGUUCCUGACACUGAGGCACGAAGGCCAGGGGAGCAAACAGG